This 253-nucleotide ribosomal RNA is filed under the name uncultured bacterium. Its description in RNAcentral is "partial 16S ribosomal RNA". It matches the Rfam family "Bacterial small subunit ribosomal RNA", at positions 524 to 776 of the family's 1533-position model. The record is from RNAcentral.
UACGGAGGAUCCGAGCGUUAUCCGGAUUUAUUGGGUUUAAAGGGAGCGUAGGUGGACAUGUAAGUCAGUUGUGAAAGUUUGCGGCUCAACUGUAAAAUUGCAGUUGAUACUGUGUGUCUUGAGUACAGUAGAGGUGGGCGGAAUUCGUGGUGUAGCGGUGAAAUGCUUAGAUAUCACGAAGAACUCCGAUUGCGAAGGCAGCUCACUGGACUGUUACUGACACUGAGGCUCGAAAGUGUGGGUAUCAAACAGG